This 79-nucleotide transfer RNA is filed under the name Alphaproteobacteria bacterium. RNAcentral describes it as "tRNA-Val". Lineage: Bacteria; Pseudomonadati; Pseudomonadota; Alphaproteobacteria. The record is from RNAcentral.
GCACGGUCCGUGGUGAAGAUCGCUGUUACUUCGUUCGACACACGAGAGGUCGCGGGUUCGAAUCCCGCCGGGUGCUCCA